Molecule: long non-coding RNA, 213 nt
Filed under: Mytilus galloprovincialis (Mediterranean mussel)
Lineage: Eukaryota; Metazoa; Mollusca; Bivalvia; Mytilida; Mytilidae
Source: RNAcentral
UUUGCCAAAUACAGCUAAGGUAAUCUAUGCCUAAGGCAGAAAAGCCUUAGUAUUUCAAAAAAUUAAAAAAAUUGUAAACAGUAAAAUUAUAAAUAUAACCCUAUCAAUGACAAUUCAUGUCAGCACAAAAAGUGCUGACUACUGGGCUUGUGAUACCCUCGGGGAAAUAAAUCUCCACCAGCAGUGGCAUCGACCCAGUGGUUGUAAAUAAAC